Molecule: long non-coding RNA, 222 nt
Filed under: Anser brachyrhynchus (Pink-footed goose)
Lineage: Eukaryota; Metazoa; Chordata; Aves; Anseriformes; Anatidae
Description: lncRNA (ENSABRG00000021237.1)
Source: RNAcentral
GUUUUGCAAUUUGCAGGCUGACCCUAGCCUUUGGAGAGUUAGUCAUGCAUACUUAAAAGGAUCAGACUUUCCCCUCUUUGGACUAAGCUAACUGGAACUUUAAAAAUAAUUUGCACCGUUUCCUCACACCAUUUGUUUGCCCUUUGGCCAGCAGAGACUAUUCCAGAUUUGUCUUUUCAGACACACUCAGGAUGCUGCCAUAAAGACCUGGAUCAGAAGGAC